Humulus lupulus (European hop) is the source of this 1123-nucleotide long non-coding RNA. RefSeq lists it as uncharacterized. The record is from RefSeq and is a predicted model, not a curated record. The transcript is spliced from 4 exons. NCBI's taxonomy places the organism in Eukaryota, Viridiplantae, Streptophyta, Magnoliopsida, Rosales, Cannabaceae.
AAGCACUCAAGUGUUUUGUGAUAUUUUGAAGAGUUGUGUGAGCCAUUCUAACCCCCAAAUCCGACCACUCUCCCUCUCUCAUUCACUCUCAUCUGAUUUUUUAAGACCAUUCAAAGUGUUCUCUCAAUAUUCAACCUCAAGAACACCAAGGAAAACUUGGAGGCUAAGUCUUGGUCUAGGAAGUAUUUUCCCUAAGUUGGUUAGGGUUUUUGAAAGGUUUUGGAGGAGCCAAAGCUAAUAGGAAGGUCCAAACCUUAAGCAAGAACACCAAAGAGUAUUGGCUAAGCGUAAUUGGACUGAACGUUGGAGGGUGAAAACUUGCUGAGCGCUAAGGACUCCAAGUAAGUGCAAGGGCAAGGCAGAGCAGUGAGCGCUGGAGUCUUCCUUGCAAAUGUACAUGUGGACCGACCUUUUGGGAAGCCUUUUUAUUUUUGGAAAUGUUCUGUAAUUUUCCUAAACUAGGCUCACUCUAAUCUUUAUAAAACAUGUUUGUAAUUAAAUGUUAAGUAUGGCCAUACGACUUUUUAAAAAGUUUUUUUUCUAUGGGUUUUUGAGACAUUUUGUUAAAUGAAAACAUUUAUAUUUCCGCAUUAUCGAGUCUUGAAAAUCCGGGUCGUUACACCUAUGCAUUCCUCAACUUGUGAUGAAACUGAUUUGUUGAAAUGGCUAGCAUAUGGACCCAGAAAACAUGCUGCUUCUUACGCUGGAUAUAUUAUCAAUGGUCAAAGAUUCCAUAUACAUGACAUUGAGAAGUCCACACAGAAUAGUGGUGUCUCAAUUGAAGCUACAACUAUGUGUAGAUCUAGUGCCAAAGAUGUAUCUCAAGUUCCUAAUUUAGUUUCAUACUAUGGGGUUAUAAGGGAGAUAAUCUUGUUAGAUUGCUAUAUAGUUCAAACUCCAAUUUUCAAAUGUGAUUGGGCAAAUGUCCCUAACGGUUUUAGGGUGGAGGAUAGUCUUACUCUAGUUAAUCUACACUAAAGUCAAUGGUCUGUUGGUAGAGACCCUUUUAUUUUAGCAACACUAGUUAAACAGGUCUUCUACUCAUGAGAACAUGAUUCUUCCAAUUGGUAUGUGGUGAUUAGGACACCCCCUAGAGGUUUUUAUGACAUGGAAAAUUAUGAUG